UUUUCUUUUUUUUUUUUUUUUUAACUGUUCGCUUCAGGGAACUCUUGUAAAAAAAAUAUGCAUAAUUUUCUUCUUGCUGCUCCUACUCUUUUGAGGGUCAAAUGAUCUCCUAUGUAAAUCUUUGCUUCUUUGUUGUCCUGUACCUGAAAACACUUGCAAGCACAAUCUAAUUUCUACCUUCUUUUUAACUUGAUCAUUUCCUGACGACAUUGAGUUAGGCUUAGGGAAUGUAUGAUCUGCAGCACUUUGAAGCAAUAUAUUGAUAAAUACAAUUGAAGAAAAUAAUUAGUUCUUAUUACAUUUGUUUUCAAAUAAAAUUAAAAUAAAACUAAAAAUAUAUUUUUUAAUAAAAUUAAAAGUGAAAUCCCACCCAAGUCCAAUUAAUGUUCCGCCAAUCACGAACAGAAAUCUUUUUUCAACAGAUCCCUGG
RNAcentral lists this unclassified non-coding RNA (430 nucleotides) under Hevea brasiliensis (rubber tree). The record is from RNAcentral. Lineage: Eukaryota; Viridiplantae; Streptophyta; Magnoliopsida; Malpighiales; Euphorbiaceae.